RNAcentral lists this ribosomal RNA (253 nucleotides) under uncultured bacterium. RNAcentral describes it as "partial 16S ribosomal RNA". It matches the Rfam family "Bacterial small subunit ribosomal RNA", at positions 524 to 776 of the family's 1533-position model. The record is from RNAcentral.
UACGUAGGGGGCAAGCGUUGUCCGGAUUUACUGGGCGUAAAGAGCGCGUAGGCGGACGCUUAAGUGUGGCCUGAAAGCCCCCGGCUCAACCGGGGAGGGUGGCUGCAAACUGGGCGUCUUGAGGGCGAUAGAGGAGAGCGGAAUUCCUGGUGUAGCGGUGAAAUGCGUAGAUAUCAGGAGGAACACCGGUGGCGAAGGCGGCUUUCUGGACCGUAACUGACGCUGAGACACGAAAGCGUGGGUAGCAAACAGG